GACGAACGCUGGCGGCGUGCCUAAUACAUGCAAGUAGAACGCACAGUUUAUACCGUAGCUUGCUACACCAUACACUGUGAGUUGCGAACGGGUGAGUAACGCGUAGGUAACCUGCCUGGUAGCGGGGGAUAACUAUUGGAAACGAUAGCUAAUACCGCAUAAUAUUAAUUAUUGCAUGAUAAUUGAUUGAAAGAUGCAAUUGCAUCACUACCAGAUGGACCUGCGUUGUAUUAGCUAGUAGGUGAGGUAACGGGUCACCUAGGCGACGAUACAUAGCCGACCGGGGAGGGGGAUCGGCCACACUGGGACUGGGACACGGCCCAGACUCCUGCGGGAGGCAGCAGUAGGGAAUCUUCGGCAAUGGACGAAAGUCUGACCGAGCAACGCCGCGUGAGUGAAGAAGGUUUUCGGGUCGUGAAGCUCUGUUGUGAGAGAAGAACGGGUGUGAGAGUGGAAAGUUCACACUGUGACGGUAUCUUACCAGAAAGGGACGGCUAACUACGUG
RNAcentral lists this ribosomal RNA (505 nucleotides) under uncultured bacterium. Its description in RNAcentral is "partial 16S ribosomal RNA". It matches the Rfam family "Bacterial small subunit ribosomal RNA", at positions 28 to 507 of the family's 1533-position model. The record is from RNAcentral.